This 497-nucleotide ribosomal RNA is filed under the name uncultured bacterium. Its description in RNAcentral is "partial 16S ribosomal RNA". It matches the Rfam family "Bacterial small subunit ribosomal RNA", at positions 28 to 507 of the family's 1533-position model. The record is from RNAcentral.
GAUGAACGCUGGCGGCGUGCCUAAUACAUGCAAGUCGAGCGAACGGACGAGAAGCUUGCUUCUCUGAUGUUAGCGGCGGACGGGUGAGUAACACGUGGAUAACCUACCUAUAAGACUGGGAUAACUUCGGGAAACCGGAGCUAAUACCGGAUAAUAUUUUGAACCGCAUGGUUCAAAAGUGAAAGACGGUCUUGCUGUCACUUAUAGAUGGAUCCGCGCUGCAUUAGCUAGUUGGUAAGGUAACGGCUUACCAAGGCAACGAUGCAUAGCCGACCUGAGAGGGUGAUCGGCCACACUGGAACUGAGACACGGUCCAGACUCCUACGGGAGGCAGCAGUAGGGAAUCUUCCGCAAUGGGCGAAAGCCUGACGAAGCAACGCCGCGUGAGUGAUGAAGGUCUUCGGAUCGUAAAACUCUGCUAUUAGGGAAGAACAUAUGUGUAAGUAACUGUGCACAUCUUGACGGUACCUAAUCAGAAAGCCACGGCUAACUACGUG